CUCUUUCCUAGUUAAAUAGAUUUGCCUUUUGAAGAAAAUUAUGUGUGCACAGGAAGAGGAAUAAAUGUAGCCAAGCGGGAAGAGAAUUGUGGCAACUUUUAAGACAAAUCUUGUUCUCACUCAUCUUUUAUUUUACGGCAUCAGUGUCUGACUUUGAGCACAUCAUGUUUAAAUUGGUUUGGAAGCCGGCUGGAUCUGUCUCAGGCACCGCAGCUUCAAAGAGGUGCCUGUAACCAUCAGCCCGUGUUGUGGGAACCUUCCAGGAGUGAACGAACGGCAGGGGACUGGUAAAAUGUAAGGAUCAGCUCCAUGUGUAACUCUUACAGUUACACAUGGCACGACGUUCCCUGCCCUUCCUGUCCAGGUGCUUCUCAAAUGUAACUCAUUCACUGGCCACCUGCCUCUGUGGUCAUUUCCAUCUUUAAGUUUGAAACAAGUUUACUCUUUCCGACAAAAAUGAUGUCUGCUGUCCCGAGUCACUACCACAGGAAGGGAACCCCUUUCUCUUAAGCCCUGGUGGAUUACAGUUUCAAACAUAAUUGUGAGAGUUAACACAUUUAAUAUGAGAGCUGAGAGUGCCCAUGUCACAGAGAGUGCAGCUAUUUAAAUGAAACCCAGGUCCUUUAAGACAACGCCUGCUUCUCAGGUUAGGAGCGGACCAUCUCACAGGAGUGGGACACUGCAGGAAAGUCUGUAAAUGUCACUCAAUCAAAAGUGAUCACUGUUGUGCUUUGUGUCUGGUUGAUUCCCCUGGACGACAGUACCAGGAACUGCCUGCGUAACUCACGGUCACACUUGACAUGCUUAUGAGUUAUGAGGCCUGGCGGUGAAGUUGUACAGACCGAAGGACACAAUGAAUCAUUUCAGGCUCAUCAGCCACAGGUGUGCUCAGUGGUCCCACAGGCACUGUGGGGACUAUCCCCAAAUUCCAGGGAUUUACAUUCUCCGGGUUCUCUAGGUCUCCCAGGUGUCUCAGUCCCCUCCCAGGUCUCUUGGUUCCGUGAUGUGUGUUGAUCAACCCAAGAUUCUUGGUCUUCCAGGCCUUUUGGUCCCCCAGGUCUCCUGGUCCUCCUGGGUCUCUUAGUGCUUACUUGUCUCCUGGAUAAAGCAGAGGCAUACUAGAUACUGACACCCCCUCCUUCAGUCAUUGCCAAGGGUAGUGUGGACAACAAACCACACUGCCAGAUGAAGUCCUUCUCAGGUGAAGACCCAUCUUGCUCAUUUCCCAUCCAGCACAGGCUAUCGCCUGAGGUACCUCCCCGCAUGGGUAGCAACCAUCGGCCCCUGCAUAUUGCUUCACCUUGCCUGGAGCAACAGCAGCCCAGGCAGGUCAAGCUGCUUUUUGUCUCUGAGCUUUCUGGUCCAAGAAGCAGGUGUUCCCUGACAUCAUGGAAGUCCCAGGAACAGGCCACUCAGUUCCCUAUAAAGAGAGUGGGAUGGCAUUUCAGAUGCCACUAGUGCCCCUAGGAAGUGCAGAAUCUGGAGGGUGGCGUAGAGCACGCCUGCAGGACCGAGAGACAAGUGUAAGUCUGAAAUCAACCCUGCCGUACAGGGCAAAGUGCUGGGUUGGAAAACUGGCAUUUCACUGCGUUGAGGAUUAACACAGGACCUUCCGCAGGUGUGGUCAGCAUCAUUAAAGACAUACUGAAGAUGCUUUGAAGGUGCCCCCCCCCAAAGUCUUCCUUCACUGAGGUGACAGAUGAACAGAGUGAACCAAGUGUUAAAACAUGCAACCAUGAAACUUAGGGGGAAAAGACAAAGAAAUACCAUGAUUUGAUCUUGUAAAAUAGAAUCCCAUGAGGGAAAGAGUGAAAACUGAAAGGGGAAAGAAAUGGCGGCCGCUGCUGUCUAGGACGAAGUGCUGAUUUCAUGAGUAUUUAGUUCCUUACGAUUGUCUUAAAAUAAUAAUGACAUCAAAAACAUCCAAGAUCCCGACAGUGGUAGCAGGAGCUGGAGAGUUGCCUACGGGAAAACAGCCUGCACCUUUUGUUCGUGCCCCGCUCUUGAAGCCCAUUCUUAAAGGGCCUCCCAGGAUGCCCCAUGCACUCUAGCACAAUUGUUCUAUGUUUUCGGAUUAAAUUUUGCACUUUUAUUAAAUUAAAAAGUAGGGUUUUUUUUUUUUUUUGCGGGGGAGGGGAGAUUGUAGAAACAGCUCAGCAACUAAGAACACACUUGCUACUUUUCCAGAAGGUGAGAAUUAGGCUCCCAGAACCCAUGUUCUGUAGCUCACAACCACCUGUAACUCAAGGGAGUCAGACGCCCUCUUCUGACCUUUUGGGCAUCUGCAUGCUCGUGUGCAUACACACUACACACAUACACAAAACAAACAAAUAAAAUGAAUCUUUUAAAAAAGAAAGGGGCCACAUUCACACAGUCGGUCGCUGCUGUCAUUUUGUCUCAUCCUCUGACUGUAAGCCACUUACAGAAGGAGCCUCUCCACACGGCAGCAAAGUGUAGACAUCUCAGGAUCCAGGGGACUUGCUUUGCCAAAAACCAUGAAGGAGUUCCAGAGGGUGCCCUGCAAUGAAUCUCCACAUCUUCAUCAUAGACUUUUUAACAAUCAAAGUUCUUACUCAACGUCACUUGAACGUACACGUAUAUUCUCUCACACACUGUUUUAUAUAGAGGAAUUGGGUUUCUGAUAUUAAUUCUGCAUCUUCAAUUUUUUGCACAUAAUGAAAAUUAUUUCAAGUGAGCAAGCAAGUUGCAAACCCCUCCAGCAGCACAGACUUCAAUGUCCUCUCCCUAGCCUGUGGGCGUUGCUCAUGUAGGCCAAGAACUGACGCUUUGUGACAUGCAUGCUCCCCGGUGGGCUAUGUGUGUCUCCAUUUUCUUUAAGCUGUCUUUUGAAGGAGUGGCAGUUCCUAAUUUUACUUAAAUUUCUCAACUUUCCUUUGGAUUUUGGGUUUUUGUUUUGUUUAAACAUUUGUUUCCCUCUCCCUACCUGAAUUCUCAAGUAGUUAGUCCCACGUACCCUUUCUCUAUUUGGGGCUUACUGCACCUGUAUCAAAUCUUUGUGUCUGCAGCAUGAUGAUACAAAUUCACUUUUCUCUCCCCACUUCUGGAAGGUGGUUUUGAACAUGUGGCUUUGCCUUGUGUGACUUUGAGCCUCCCUGGCAUGUCAGGUCUGCACGGUUGCCCUGUCAACCUCUGUGUUCUCUUUCCUUCCCUAUGAUGAUGUCCUUGUUUACCAGAGGCCCAUACGUCGAGGUCUUAACUACUAGGCAUUUAAAGGAACCCUCACUGGCAAACCCCAUCAGCUCAUUCUACAAGAGACUCUUAGAUAACCAGGUAACUCUGUUUCUGGUACAAUUGGAACUAGUUUGACAAGUUUAAUGAGCCACCUUGUGAGGAUUGCCAUGAGUUUAGAAAUGUUGGACAUCUUCAAAGACACCGAGUUCCCUGCCCACAGACAUGGCACGUUUCCCCAUCUGCUUAGGAGAGUUUCAGCUUUCUUCAUACAAAAUCUUGUAAUGUUGCCUGUAGAGGUCUCGAGCAGAUUUGGUUAGAUUUCUUCUGAGCACUCUGCAUCCUUUGUUCCUUUUGUCAAUACUAUGUGUAUACAAAACUUUAUUUUUUCUUAAAUUGUUGUUGCUUGGGUAAAGAAAUAAAACACUCAGUGAUUUUGUUCAGCACUCUUACCAGUCCUCAUAUUUUGAACAUAUGAGGAGAUUUCUUUGGAGAUACUGUGGGGGAUACCAUUAUUCUUAUGUCUUCUUUUUCAAAUUCCUUUAUGUUCUUCAGCAAACCUCAUCUUACUCCCAGGCUAGAGCUACUAACAUUGUACAGUCUUCCUUUAAUCUACUCUUGUAUGUAUAUUCCUAUGUGUGUGCACACAGGUAUAUGAGGGGUGUGUGUGUGUGUGUGUGUGUGUGUGUGUGUGUGUGUGUGAACACAGGCAAGGGGUCCAUGUUGGGUGUCAUCAUCAAUCUCUUUCUACCUUACUCUCUGAGACAGAGUCCCCCACUGAACCUGGAGCUCCCAGAGUCAGCCAGCCUGGCUCUCCGGUGACCUGGAGCGAUCCUCCUGUCCACUUCUCCCGUGUUGGGAGGACAGGAACGUUUUGCUGCUCCUGGCUUUUACACAGGUUUUGGGAACCUGACUUCAAGUCCUCAUCUUCUGUGGCACAUCCUGGCUCAGCCACCAUUCCACUGCCCCUUUGUUCCCUUGUAAAGGAGAUGUUUAGACUCUGUGAUUUGGUAAAAUAUUUGUUUUAAGAUUUUCUUUUAGGUUCGGUUUAAAUAAAAAUUCUUCCAUCCAAAUAGACUAAUUUGUCUAGGAUAUAAAAGGAUAUAAAAGUUUAUAUCGACAUUUUUUUCACACUAGUGAGACAAUCUUUGGCUUUCUGGUUUAAUUUAAAACUAUAGUGAAUUAUGGCCAGGCGGUGGUGGUGCACGCCUUUAAUUCUGGCACUCGGGAGGCAGAGCUAGGCAGAUCUCUGUAAUUCGAGGCCAGCCUGGGCUACAGAGUGAGUUCCAGGAAAGACGCAAAGCUACACAGAGAAACCCUGUCUCAAAAAACAAAAAACAAACAAACAAAAAAAAUCAAACAAACUAUAGUGAAUUACAUUAACUGAUUUUUUAAAAAUAUUCACUGAAAUUUACAUUUUAGAAUAAAUCUAAUUUGGCCCUUCUUUAAUUUUGGGGUCCAUAGUUCAAAAGUCAGACACCGUGGCAAGGUAAGGACCCCUCAUCUGGGAUUUCUGGAAUCUACUCCGUAUCUGUGGUGGAGUGGGGUGGACAGGGGAGGAAGAGGCAGGGAGGGGGUUAGGGGAGGGGGUCAGCAUCUGUCUGCCUGCUGUAAGUCUGUAUGUCUUGAUCUGCAAGUAGCCUUUCUCACUCUCAGAAAGGCAGAUGGGUCUAAUGUACUCUUUUCUCUGAGCCUGGCUCCUAGAGUUUCUGACUACAUAAAAGUUCCAGUCAUUAUGAAACUGAAAAUAUGACCUUGUCACCUUCUUUUAUACCUUAUGGCAUGUGAUAGCCAGUAUUUCAUAGAACAUAGCAGAGGCAUUUUCCAGAAGAGAAAAAAAAUCAGAGGCUUUCAAAUCUUUGUGUGUGCAGGUAUGUAUGGAGGCCAGAGGCCAGCCUCGGGUCAGUUCUCAGGUGCCCUCAUGUUGUAGUUUUUUUUUGUUUGUUUUGUUUUGUUUUAAGAUAUCUCCAGUUGGCUUAGGAUUCACUGAUUAGAGUAGACUAGCUUCCCAGCAAGAUUCAGGGCCUCAUGGUUGCAAGGCAAUCACUUCUCCAACCAAAUUAUCACCCUACCCUUUAAGUAUUAGAAUUCAGUCUUUCAAUCUAGGCAAGUGUUUAUUAGCUAUUCCCUUUUACUUAGGAAGGACAUAAUACUUUAUGUAUGUCCUUCAAAUAGAAUUUGAUAUAGUGCUAAGCCACACUAAUAGGUAGCAACAUUAAAUAAAAUGUAUUUAACAAAGUUACUUUUAAAAAAGAAAGAAAGAAUCCUAAAAGGGCAAAUCACUUUCUCAACGCAUUGUAUAUGAAUGGAUGGUUUUUUGCAAAACAAAUUCCAUGUAAAUCAUCCUUCCUUUACAUUCAGAUGAAAGUCAUGUGACUUCCUGAAGGGAGAUGGCAGAGCCUGAUGUUGAGGGCUUCCUUGUGCUACUCACUUCUGUGUGGUCAAGACUGCCGCAGGAAUCCACACCAACCACAAGGGAGCUGUAACGUUGCCUGAACUCUGUACCACACCAGGUUCAAGACAGGAUCAGUAAAUGCUCCAUCCCACUUCAGCCUCUCCCACCUGCUCGGGAAGAAGGCCCAGGUCUUGUGUAUAGGUACAUCCAUGGAUAUGGCCCUGCCCUCUCUAGAGGCUUCAGUCAUGGUUUUCUCCAGCUACCUACCACCUGCCUGACUCAGCAACAGUGACCCCACAGCAAGCUCUCUCGCUGGGAGGUGAUGGCCUCCUGCUGGAGCCUGCGGCCCUCAGCCCUCUCGACACCACAGCGGAGUUCUCCAAGGUCCUGAACCCAGAAGCGCUUCUCCAGUCUUGGAGUUUAAGGAUCAUAGUUCAAGGAUCGGACGCUCUCCAGGAAUUGAAUAUCUGUACCCACACUUGCACCCACUUAACUGUGGGAGCUUCCUGAGCAAGGCAGGCAGAUUUGGGGUUCUGCUGGCCACCUGCCAUCCUGGAUCUGCCUGUGAGGGAUGCGCUUCCAGCCACCAUAGGGACCUCAUCUAAUGGCUGUGCCCUGUUCUGCAGGUGCACAGGACACUUGCGCGUCUUCAUUUUCCUGCAGUUAGGUAUCACUGCUUUUAGGAUUUAUUUUGAAGUCACAUACAGCAUCUGAGUGGAUGUGUUCUACACACUUUUUGCUUAUAUUUUACAUCAUUCCCACACAGAUUUCUACCCACAGGAGUGAUGAGGUACUGAACAGCAGAGAGUGUCCCAUACACUGCUGAAUGGCUUCCAAAAAGAUCCGUCCCAAUUGUGUGUGAGAAUGCCCCUCCCUUCACUCCUCUUCACUGCAAGGCUCGAAUAGUCACAGUCGUACCUUGUGACAUAGCGUAUACUUUUCUCUGGUUGAUGACAAAGUCAAGUGUUCUCAGCAGAGGAGCACCUGUAUAUCCUUUAUUCUCUACCUAUCCCAUUAGGUUUUUUUUUUUUAAAAAAAAAAAAGGUUUAUUUUUGUGUACAUGUGUGUGCCUGCGUGAAUUUAUGUGCAUUGUGUGUAUGCAGGUGCCCAUGGAGGCCAUAAGAGGGCGCUGAGUGCACUGGAACUGGAGUUAAACAGUUGUGCGUCUCAAUGUGGGUACCAAGCAUCAAAUUUGGGUCCUCUGCAAGAACAGCCUAUGCCUUUAACCACUGGGAAAUCCCUUCGGUCCAAUUCCUGCAGUUUUACAGACUUUUCUUGGGUUGCCCAAGCUUUUCACACAUGUUUAUUACCAUACCUUUAUUACCAUAUCACUUCAUGAUGCAUCUACUCUAGGUGUUUUCUGAAUUUAGGUGAAUUGUAAUUUGUUCCUUUCAUGUCUUAACCUAAGAAAGUAAAAAUUUCCUAGUGAAUGUGAAAAUUGUUCUCUAUUUUACAUUAACAUUUAUUCAGUGGUCCUGCAUACUUUGAGAUUUCUUAUAUAGUCAGACAUCAGAAUCACAUAUUUUCCUAUAACUUACUGUUUUUAUUCUUUAAUUCUCUUAUUUUGGUAAUUGAUAUAAAAAUCUAAGCUGUCUAUUCUCAUUAUACUAAUACUAAAUGUCAGUACCUAAUUGUAGCAUGAAUUGUUAGAAGGUCUUAUUAAUAAAAACAAACCUGGAGCCAGG
Long non-coding RNA from Peromyscus californicus insignis, 7269 nucleotides. RefSeq lists it as uncharacterized. The transcript has 2 exons. The record is from RefSeq and is a predicted model, not a curated record. Lineage: Eukaryota; Metazoa; Chordata; Mammalia; Rodentia; Cricetidae.